Falco peregrinus (peregrine falcon) is the source of this 639-nucleotide long non-coding RNA. RefSeq lists it as uncharacterized. The transcript is spliced from 3 exons. NCBI's taxonomy places the organism in Eukaryota, Metazoa, Chordata, Aves, Falconiformes, Falconidae. The record is from RefSeq and is a predicted model, not a curated record.
UCCUUAGCUGCUGCAAAGCUCAGGGAAGAGUGUUUUUGGCAAAAAGGCUUUAAAAGUCGCCUUUCCAUGCAGUAGAAGACAUGAUACUUGUGCUGACAAGAGAGUUAUCACUAGGGAGUCAAGUGGUAUAAUGGUGCUGCCAAAGCUUGAACUGACUGGCCAUGUGAUCAGAUGAUCUCCAGUGACAAAUCAAAAGAAGGAGGGGAAAAUGUCCAUCAGGAAAUGAAAGGGCAGGCAAAACAUUACCUUGGCUUGGAAGAAGCUUUAGACCUGCAAUUUAAGGCAGCGGAACAAAUUCUCCUUUGAAUUUUUGGGACCUGGCCAACACUGGAAGUGCCAAGAUACCUUGAGAGAUGUUGCUGUUGAGAAAUUUCCAGCUGGACUCAGAAGUCUUGAGAAUCUUGAAAGACAAGCCAUUCUUUUAUUGAAUCUACUCCCAUUUGUUGAUCUCAGAGGUCUGAAUCUCACUUAUUCCAACCUAAGUCAGAAGUAGUGGUACUGAAUUCAGUAGAUGUGGCACAAGGUCAAAUCAGUGUGAGAUCUAAAUCCAGCCUUCAAAAGGUUGGAUAAAUUGUUGUAAAGAUUAUUUGAAAUUCAGCACGCUUAUCUAAACUGAAAAUAAAUGAAACGGUUUUUGAA